Molecule: ribosomal RNA, 1371 nt
Filed under: Triticum aestivum (bread wheat)
Lineage: Eukaryota; Viridiplantae; Streptophyta; Magnoliopsida; Poales; Poaceae
Description: partial small subunit ribosomal RNA
Source: RNAcentral
AUGGAGCAUGACUUGGCGAAGGCGCGAAACAUGAAGUUGGUGUUAUGCUUGUUCGAACAGUUGUCUGGGCUGAAAAUUAAUUUUCACAAGAGUGAAUUGUUCUGCUUUGGUAGAGCCAAGGAGGAACAAGAGGCAUAUAAGCAACUGUUCGAGUGUGAAUUGGGGGCGUUACCUUUUCGGUAUUUAGGUAUACCCAUUCAUCACCGUAAGCUAACAAAUAGCGAAUGGAAGUGCAUUGAGGAUCGCUUUGAGAAGAAAUUGGGAUGCUGGAAAGGCAAACUAAUGUCAUAUGGAGGCCGGUUAGUUCUUAUUAAUUCAGUGCUCACCAGUAUGCUCAUGUUCCUUCUGUCUUUUUUUGAAGUACCAGUGGGCGUUCGGAAAAGACUCAAUUUCUAUCGAUCUCGUUUCUUCUGGCAAAGCGAUGAGUUGAAGAGAAAGUAUAGAUUAGCUAGAUGGGACAUUAUUUGUCGACCUAAGGACCAAGGGGGUCUCGGGAUCGAAAAUCUGGAGGUAAAGAACAAAUGUCUCCUCUGUAAAUGGCUAUAUAAGCUUUCUCAAGAGACCGAGGCCACUUGGGCCCAGAUUCUGCGUAAUAAGUACCUUCAUUCCAAGACCUUAUCCCAGGUGACGGUGAGACCGACAUAUUCGCCUUUAUGGAAAGGCCUGAUGCGAGUUAAGUCGCUCUUCUUUAACCGAACCAAGGUGGUUGUCGGUAACGGUACGUCUACAAGAUUCUGGGAGGAUACCUGGCUAGGGGAUACGCCAUUGGCGGUUCAGUAUCCUUCUCUCUAUAGUAUUGUUCAACGAAGAGAUGCGACCGUGCAGACGGUGUGUCAGUCCACGCCUCUACAUAUUAGCUUCAGGAGAGCUUUAGCCGGUAACCGUUGGGACGCUUGGCUCCAUCUCGUGAGAGGACUGAUGGAGGUUCAACUUUCUCAGCGCCCAGAUCGGUUAUGUUGGAAGCUUGCGAGGAAUGGAGUAUUUAUGGUUAAAUCUAUGUACUUGGAUGUCAUUAAUUCUAGUUCUAUCCAUAAGUCGAAACAUGUGUGGCAAGUCAAAGUUCCUUUGAGAGUUAAAGUGUUCAUGUGGUUUGUGCAUAAACAAGUCAUUUUAACUAAGGACAACUUGAUUAAACGAAAGUGGAAUGGAUCUAGUCGGUGUAGCUUUUGUGAUAUAGAUGAAACUAUUAAGCACCUCUUUCUCGACUGUCCUAUGGCAAAAAAAUUAUGGCAGUCAGUGACAAUAGCCUUUAAUAUUACUCCUCCACAGAAUAUUAACACGUUAUUCGGAACGUGGUUGGAUGGGAUGAUUGAGCCCUAUACAGCGAGACAAAUUCGUGUUGGAGUAUGUGCGUUAUUAUGGGCUAUUUGA